AAUGGUGGAGGUGCAGGCAUUUCCUGAGGAUUAAUGACCAGCUGGGAGGAACCAGUGGCCCUUGGCUCUGCCUCCCAGCCAGCCAUUAAUUCCAAGGAAAUGUCUUUUGCUGAGGUCGUU
RNAcentral lists this microRNA precursor (120 nucleotides) under Tursiops truncatus (common bottlenose dolphin). RNAcentral's name for it is "miRNA (ENSTTRG00000022247.1)". It matches the Rfam family "mir-763 microRNA precursor family". RNAcentral also lists the same sequence under 9 other names. Lineage: Eukaryota; Metazoa; Chordata; Mammalia; Artiodactyla; Delphinidae. The record is from Rfam by way of RNAcentral.